GAUGAACGCUGGCGGCGUGCCUAAUACAUGCAAGUCGAGCGAACAGACGAGGAGCUUUCUCCUCUGACGUUAGCGGCGGACGGGUGAGUAACACGUGGAUAACCUACCUAUAUUACUGGGAUAAUUUCGGGAAACCGGAUCUAAUACCAGCUAAUAUAUUGAACCGCAUGGUUCAAUAGUGAAAGACGGCUUUGCUGUCACUUAUAGAUGGAUCCGCGCCGCAUUAGCUAGUUGGUAAGGUAACGGCCUACCAAGGCGACGUUGCGUAGCUGAGCUGAGAGGGUGAUCGGCCACACUGGAACUGAGACACGGUCCAGACUCCUACGGGAGGCAGCAGUAGGGAAUCUUGCACAAUGGGCGCAAGCCUGACGGAGCAACGCCGCGUGAGUGAUGAAGGUCUUCGGAUCGUAAAGCUCUGUUAUUAGGAAAGAACAAAUGUGUAAGUAACCAUGCACGUCUUGACGGUACCUAAUCAGAAAGCCACGGCUAACUACGUG
RNAcentral lists this ribosomal RNA (497 nucleotides) under uncultured bacterium. RNAcentral's name for it is "partial 16S ribosomal RNA". It matches the Rfam family "Bacterial small subunit ribosomal RNA", at positions 28 to 507 of the family's 1533-position model. The record is from RNAcentral.